CAAGAUUCUUUUUCUUUACUCUUUCUUCCCACUUUCAUUAUUCUCUAGGGUUGCAGAAGUGGAGGCGACUCCAUUUUCAUCUCCUCUUUGACCUUGUUCCAUUAUUUUACUAACUACCACGCUUUUACUACAUCACCACCAUCAUCCUCAAUUGUUGAUUUUGCUUGAUAAUCAAAUGGAUUCUUCAGCUUCCGUUGUUACUUUGGAUUCAGUUGUGACUAUGGAUGUGGAUCAAUCAACCCAGCAUCAACCCCUGCUACUGUGAUGUCCUAGGUCCCCUGACUGGAGAAGAUUGAUUAAGGGAGCUAAUGACAGCUAAUGGUGUUUGAUGAAUGGUGCUACUUGGAAGAACCUCUGGAAUAAUCUAUCCUAUUGGAGUUGUCACUUGCACAUUAGUUGAAGAAUACUUGGACUUUGCAUAUUAGUUGAAGAAUAAAACCUUAGUGAUAUCAUUUGUUCAUUCUUUAUUCAUUCAUUCUUUAUUCUUACAGAAGUAUCAAAACAGUUGAAUCUAGUUUGCUUUUAGUCUUGCUUUCAAUUUGCUUGAGAUUAUUAUCAGUUUGGUUAAGAGAUUGUUCAGUAGAUUAUUGAAUUUAUUAUUAUUAUUAGCAAAUUUCUUUUUAGUUUUUA
Molecule: long non-coding RNA, 630 nt
Organism: Papaver somniferum (opium poppy)
Lineage: Eukaryota; Viridiplantae; Streptophyta; Magnoliopsida; Ranunculales; Papaveraceae
Exons: 4
Source: RefSeq, a predicted model, not a curated record